This is an RNA transcript of Sesamum indicum (sesame), 1736 nucleotides long. It is a transcript of the gene named telomere repeat-binding factor 4, with no coding region annotated. The record is from RefSeq and is a predicted model, not a curated record. Lineage: Eukaryota; Viridiplantae; Streptophyta; Magnoliopsida; Lamiales; Pedaliaceae.
GGAGGGCGCUGAUGGCGGGUGUGGCGAAGCACGGUCCGGGGAAGUGGAAGAAUAUUCUUGUAGAUUCAGAGUUCGCUGACAAGCUCGCCAGCCGGUCAAAUGUUGACCUUAAGGACAAAUGGCGGAAUAUGGGUGCUAACCAUGAACAAGUCUCUGGAGAUAAUGCUAUGACUCCGAAAGGAAAAGCAACUGCAGCCAGUGCUGUGCGACCCAGAACUCAAACUUCUUCUGCUGCUUUCGUUUCUAAAGACAGUGUUAAUGAAAAGCUUUCUCAGGGCCCACAGAACGCUAAAAGUGUCCCAAAAUACAAUGCGAUGAUACUUGAAGCACUUUCAUCCAUCAAGGACUGCAAUGGAUCUGAUUUUGGUGCAAUCAUGAGGUUCAUUGAGAAAAAGUACGAGGUGCAACAAAGCUUUAGAAGGUUACUGAGUUCAAAACUAAGGAAACUUGUUUUACAAGGCACUCUUGAGAAGGUUCAAAAACGGUACAAGAUCAGACUUGCUGCAUCAGGCACUAAGACGCCUACACCGAAACAGAAAGGUGUUAAUUCAAGGCCAUUACAAAAGUCUAGGUUGACCAUCUCAGCUGAAACAGUGGAAGAUGCCGCUAAAACAGCUGCUGACAAGAUUGCUGAGGCUGAAAAUAAAUCAUUUGUGGCAGCUGAAGCAGUUAAAGAGUCUGAAAGGGUCUCAAGAAUGGCUGAAGAUGCAGAUGCGUUGCUUAUGCAUUUAAAAGAGGUUUUUGAACAAUUCUUGAUCUAAGGAAGAUUUGUUCAACUAUGUCUGGUAUAUAGGGGAAGACAACGGAAGACAACACAAUUUCUAAAGUUCAGGAGUUACACUGGUCCUUGCGGAUUAGUUAUUCUGUUGGAUUCAAAUACUAAUUUAUUUGCUGUACAUAAGAUCUAGUAAACAAGGAGAUACUCCGUUUUCCGGUACCAGAUGGAGACUAACUUUCAUUAGCUAGAAGUCAACUCGCUAGUGCUUCUGUAGUCAUGAAUCCAAGUUGAGGAACGGUCUUGGGGCAAAGCUGCUAGUCGUAACUUUAAGUUGUGUAGUCUGCCCAUCCCCGUUAACUCUCUCCUAGGCUUCUAACUUUGUAAUAUUGGUUGUUGGAUGACGGCUCUUACUAAUGUUAUGUAUUCCAGUUCAUUCUUCAUCAGUCAUCUUCUGUCUAUAAGUUUCUCGUUCAGUUUUUCUUUUACAAUUAUUUUUUAGUGCACUUGGAGAAGCUUUCUGCUGGUUCUAAAUAACUUCUACAGCACAACCGAGUUGACAAAAAAGUUGGAAGGCAUAAAAUACAUGGUGAAGAGCAAAUCACAUUGGCGAGGGAUUAAAGCAUCAAGAAAAUUACUGCUACCAGAACCUGCCAACAGAAACUAGUGAAAUAAAUUUUCCGCAUCAGAGUUAAAAGGUGCGAAGCAUCUGUAAUUAUUGCCGGAAAAUCAGCCUGCCCGCAAAUUUGAGCCGGAUAGAAGCAAAGAAAAUAUACACCAGAACAGAGGCAAUAUUUAUCCAACAAUAGUAAUUCAUCCCAGUUUCAACAUAAACCUAGUACAAAUGCUCAGUUGCAAAAUUCAUCUAUUUCUCAGUUUCACAUUAAGUUGAAAUGCGAAUCAUGCAUGCAGGACAGGAAUUAUAAGGGGGCGCCAUGAAAAGAUAAGAGUUCACAUAAGUUACAAAAGUGCCCAGGAAUCUUUGACCGAAUCCCAAUCUAUAAAAGCACAAGCCCAAGUU